AGAGUUUGAUCCUGGCUCAGGAUGAACGCCAGGCGGCAUGCCUAAUACAUGCAAGUCGAACGAGAGGAAGGAAAGCUUGCUUUUCUAAAUCUAGUGGCGAACGGGUGAGUAACACGUAGGUAACCUGCCCAUGUGCCCGGGAUAACUUCUGGAAACGGAUGCUAAAACCGGAUAGGUAGCAGACAAGCAUUUGACUGCUAUUAAAGUGGCUAAGGCCAUGAACAUGGAUGGACCUGCGGUGCAUUAGCUAGUUGGUGAGGUAACGGCCCACCAAGGCGACGAUGCAUAGCCGGCCUGAGAGGGCGGACGGCCACAUUGGGACUGAGACACGGCCCAAACUCCUACGGGAGGCAGCAGUAGGGAAUUUUCGUCAAUGGGGGGAACCCUGAACGAGCAAUGCCGCGUGAGUGAGGAAGGUCUUCGGAUCGUAAAGCUCUGUUGUAAGAGAAAAACGGCACUCAUAGGGAAUGAUGAGUGAGUGAUGGUAUCUUACCAGAAAGUCACGGCUAACUACGUGCCAGCAGCCGCGGUAAUACGUAGGUGGCGAGCGUUAUCCGGAAUGAUUGGGCGUAAAGGGUGCGUAGGUGGCAGAUCAAGUCUGGAGUAAAAGGUAUGGGCUCAACCCGUACUUGCUCUGGAAACUGAUCAGCUAGAGAACAGAAGAGGACGGCGGAACUCCA
This 680-nucleotide ribosomal RNA is filed under the name uncultured bacterium. RNAcentral describes it as "bacterial SSU rRNA". It matches the Rfam family "Bacterial small subunit ribosomal RNA", at positions 8 to 671 of the family's 1533-position model. The record is from RNAcentral.